Molecule: ribosomal RNA, 497 nt
Filed under: uncultured bacterium
Lineage: Bacteria
Description: partial 16S ribosomal RNA
Rfam family: Bacterial small subunit ribosomal RNA
Source: RNAcentral
GAUGAACGCUGGCGGCGUGCCUAAUACAUGCAAGUCGAGCGAACGGACGAGAAGCUUGCUUCUCUGAUGUUAGCGGCGGACGGGUGAGUAACACAUGGAUAACCUACCUAUAAGACUGGGAUAACUUCGGGAAAUCGGAGCUAAUACCGGAUAAUAUUUUGAACCGCAUGGUUCAAACGUGAAAGACGGUCUUGCUGUCACUUAUAGAUGGAUCCGCGCUGCAUUAGCUAGUUGGUAAGGUAACGGCUUACCAAGGCAACGAUGCAUAGCCGACCCGAGAGGGUGAUCGGACACCCGGGAACAGAGACACGGUACAGACUCCGAGGGGAGGCAGCAGUAGGGAAUCUUCCGCAAUGGGGGAGAGCCUGACGGAGGAACGCCGGGUGAGUGAUGAAGGUCUUCGGAUCGUAAAACUCUGUUAUUAGGGAAGAACAAAUGUGUAAGUAACUGUGCACAUCAUGACGGUACCUAAUCAGAAAGCUCCGGCUAACUACGUG